CCCUGGGGCUGAGCAAGGCCGUAGCCACAGUUCCACAGACCUGGGGGAGCACCCUGUUAGUGCCAAAUCCAGGCCUUGCCACCAUCCGGCCUCUCUUCUCCAAGGACUCAGAGCCGACGACACCGCCUGAGCCCAUCUUCAGGCCCCCUGCAGAUGGUGGGAAGGGGUCACUUUCUCUGGUAGGUCCAGGCGACAGGCUCCUACACAUACACCUUCACUCAGUCAACCGGAUUUACUGAGCACCUACUGUGUGCCAGACACUGUAGUGUAAGUAUAAUACGGAGCAAAAUGAAGUCCCCCACCCCUAUGGUGCCCACAGACCAGACCGGGGCUCGGCGGUCUUUGUCCGCAAAGGGCCAAAUAGUAAACAUUUUACGCUUUCAGGCUAUACAACCAUUCAACUCUGCUUUAUGACAGAAAGGAGCUCUUGACAGGACAAACAAAUGGGCAUGGCUGUGUUCUAAUAAAAUUUCCUGGACGCUGAAAUUUGAAUUUCAUAUAAUUUCCAUGUGUCACAAAAUAUUAUCCCUCUUUUGAUGAUCAACCAUUAAAAAACCUACAACCAUUCUUAGCUCCGGAAAUGGAAACAGGCAGUGGGCAGGACUCUCCGGGGCCGGAGGAGCUGCGGACCAGCCAGGCAAAGAAGAAAAUGCCACCCAGUGAGCGUCAGAGUGGGUCACUCAGCUGGGGAGGGGACAAGCCACGUUUUGCUUUUCUGUCCCUUACCUGAUGGAUGGUAGAUGUCAAGCUGUUCCCACUUGGGCUCCACUUCAAGGCUCUGGUGAGAGGCACAGCCAAGCCCUCUCUCCUGGGGUUUAGACUGGAGCAGCCACUGCUUACUGGACAAGAGGAUGAGGGCUACAGAGAAGAGUGGUCCCCAAGUCGGGCUGAUGGCAGAGUUGGCCCAGGCGGUGCAGGUGUGUGGUUAAAAACCACAAACUUCAUGGAAGGCUAUGUGCAAAUCCCUUCUCGCCACUGUCUCCUGGUCACCUUCUCCUCCCCGGAGGCAGCCACUAUUGUUAGGCCCGGCCAUGUCCUCCGGAGAUGGUCUAUGCAUUCAGAAGCAAAUCUCCUCAAGAAACAAAGCAAGCCAGAACCCCAUCCACACACUGCACGACUGGAGCCUCCGACAGAAUCUUCUGUCUGCAUUUUUCACUGACCAGCAUUUCUGGGAGAUAAUUAUAUAUCAGUAUGUAUAGUCCGCCCAUUCUUUUCAACAAUAGCAAACCGAUAAUAACAGCAGGACCUUGUACUUAACUAUGUGCGGGCUGCUGCUCUAAGCACUAUUUAUAUGAACUGAUCUACUCCCCAAACAGCUUGGAGACGGGCACUCCCUUAUCUCACUCCGCAGGCGAGGAGGCCGGGGGUUCCGCAUUUGUGUGACGAGGCCCUGUGGACUUCCACGGCCGCUCCUGAUGGACAUGCAGGAUGGCUCCGGGCGGUGAACACUCUUGUACUUUUGUCUCUGGGCACUUGUAUCUCAGAGGAUAAAUGCACUGAAGCGAAUGGCUGGGUUAAAGGGCAUGCGCAUUUUUAAUUUAAAUAGCUGUGGCCAAAUUGCCCUCUGAAGUGAUCCCAGCCGUUUACAUAGAGCUGCACCUGCCCCUCCCGCUCCCAGCGGCAGGACCAGCGCAGCCUUCAUCCGCCUUUUCUGUCUUGGCCAAUCUGAUAGAAGGAAAUGAUCUCUCCUCACGGUUUUCCCUUGCGCGGCUCUUACAAGAGAGGUCAAGCGUCUUUUCACACAGGACAGCACCAUCUGGCACAGUCAGAAUCCAGCAGGGCAAGGUCCAAGGAGGUCUGGGAGCCAGGAGGCCGUUGGGGGUGAGGGUGGAGGUGGACAUCUCUGAGCUGGCCCUUGGGGCGUGGGGCACCCAGGGAGGGCACCUUUGGCAGAGAGACGGGCCCGAGCAAGGGCUCAAGGGGCACCUGAUCAGUCCAGGCCCGAGGACGGCUCUCUUCUCAGCAGUGUCAGCCCUGCUCCCUGAGUCCUACUCCCCAGCCAGGAUGCUUCCUCUUCUCCCUCUCGCACCUUGAGAUAAACCUUGGUUCCUGGGGUCCCUGCCCCACAGGGGGCUCCUUCCAGGGUCCCCAGAGGGAGCCUUCCCCCCCCAUGCCUUUAGUGAGGUAGCUUCCCCUACCCCUCCCACCCAUCCCUGCCUCUAGCUGGGCGAGCGUACAUCCUCGUUAGCACGGUUCAGUGCCCAGCACUGGUAAUUGAUCUCCCUCCGGCCCAGUGUGGACAGCGGCUAAUGGGGAUGAAUGGUGCGGGAGGUGCCGCCAAGGGACUCUCACCCGGAGGCCCGCACAGGGGUGGAGAGGAGGGCAGGAGAUGGAGAUGCGUUGAGCAGGCCUGUGACUCAGAUGGGGAGCCUGCAGUCGCCUCUGCCCGCCCACCAAGGCCGCCAUCUGGCCCCCAACACCAGUGGGCAGAGGGGUGCUGGAAUUCAGCUGCCUGCUGGGGUAAGGGCAGGGGCCGGUCUAGGAGGCAGGACUGGAGUUCUGGGAUGGCAUCCCAGGAAGGCAUUGCGGCCCUACGGGAGGGGCAGGCAAUGCCCUCAAUCAGACGUGUGUCGGAGAGAGAGGGACAUUCCAAAGCAGGAGCAGGUAGUCACGGGCCGACCAGAAACAAGGACUCCGUUGCAUGAUCAAGUGACAAAUAUUUAUUAGCUGCUUACUGCGUGCCGGGCACUGGGUAAGCCGCAAGGUGACCUGAACAAUUAAGACCUUCUUCAUGGGUGCAGGGUGAUGGGGAGUAACUAGGAAAAUAAACACUGAAGUUGUUAACAGAUGGUAAGAGCUCAGAGGGCAAUAAACAGGGUUAUGUGUUAGGGUGACGGAAUGGAAGUGGCACUUUUGGAAGGAACCUGGGGAGGCCUCUCUGAGGAGGCAACAUGUGAGCUGAGACCUGAACAAUGAGAAGGAAAAGCAGUCCAGGCAAAGGGAACAGGCAGUGCAAAGGUCCUAAGGUGGGAAUGAACUUGGGGUGUUUGAGGAAUAAGAAGGGGCCAGUGUGGCACCCGGAUGGCUCAGAAGAGUGUGCAACUCUUGAUCUCAGGGUUGUGAGUUUGAGCCCCAUGUUGGGAGUAGAGAUUACACAAAAAAUGUUAAAAAAUAAAAUCUGAAAUAGAAGGAGAGGAGGGAGAAGGAGAAGGAGAAGAGGCCAGUGUGCUGGAGCAUGGCCCCUGAAGAGGAGAUGAGCUGAGAAAUUGAUGGCAAUAAAGCAAGGAAGGUCAUGGUCAAGGCCAGAAGCCCCAUUGCCAGGUCUGUGGGGUCAUGGUGGAUGGGACCCCUUUCCUGAGGUGGUGUUGGCCAUUCACGAGUCCUGCCUGGGUCACCUGGGCCAGAGGUCCCUGGGGAAGCCAGGCUUGUGAAGACUCUUGCCACUCCCUGGUCACUGUGUCUGCAGACUUCAGGGGGACAAGGGGGACUCCCAGAGGUGUCUGGGCCAAACUCAGUCUGAUUUAGAGGACACACAGACACCUUCUUGGCCAUUCGGGAGAAGGUGUCCAG
Long non-coding RNA from Ailuropoda melanoleuca (giant panda), 3510 nucleotides. RefSeq lists it as uncharacterized. The record is from RefSeq and is a predicted model, not a curated record. Lineage: Eukaryota; Metazoa; Chordata; Mammalia; Carnivora; Ursidae. The transcript has 3 exons.